RNAcentral lists this ribosomal RNA (372 nucleotides) under Triticum aestivum (bread wheat). RNAcentral describes it as "partial small subunit ribosomal RNA". The record is from RNAcentral. Lineage: Eukaryota; Viridiplantae; Streptophyta; Magnoliopsida; Poales; Poaceae.
GGGAGACUAUGUGUGUCUAUGCAGGACUACUACUGCUACAAAUUCUAGAUGUGUUCCGGGAUAUUCAACCCAAUCCUCUAGGGUAUGCUUCUUUUCCAAUAGUUUGCGGUCGACACAUACAUCAAGAUAGAGAACUCCCAGUUGGACUAUAUAUGGGGCCAUCAAGAUACGAAAAGGGCAGACAUGUACCAGGGCUUGGUGGAUAGCUUACAUGUUGGUGAGGGUAGGGCAGAUGCUAUUGGGAAAGUGUUAUCUACAUCUUUUAUCGAUGGUCCACGGGACAAGAGGCGUUAUUACAUGUAUGACAUGGCCUUAGUUCGAAAGUAUGUCAAGCCGGAUGUCUUCUUCACAAUGACAUGCAACCCAAGCUGA